Non-coding RNA from Brachypodium distachyon (stiff brome), 98 nucleotides. The record is from RefSeq and is marked provisional. Lineage: Eukaryota; Viridiplantae; Streptophyta; Magnoliopsida; Poales; Poaceae.
GUCCAAUUUAAACAGUUGAGGGAUGAAAAACAAAAAAAAAAUCAAGUUGAGGGACAUUUUUUUUUUACCUUUCUCCUAGUUAAUUGAUGAAUAUUUGU